RNAcentral lists this long non-coding RNA (1559 nucleotides) under Drosophila guanche. The record is from RNAcentral. Lineage: Eukaryota; Metazoa; Arthropoda; Insecta; Diptera; Drosophilidae.
CUGGCGCUGCUCUUUGACAAACGCAACGCAACGCGACGCGACGCGAGUGAGCAGUCAGGCUGGCUUUUUGUUGUUCCCAAAUUACAAAAAAAUAAUAAUAAUACAACGAGUGAAAUAAAAGUGCAAUUUCCACAUGGAAUAAACCUAUUUUUCUACGAAUUUUCCACACACAAAGCUCGAGCGAAGCGAAACAAGAGGCGAAACAGCAAUCCACGAGAAUUUCAGCAAUUUCUAGUUCAAGCAAAAGUCAGGGGGGAAACCUGGAAAAUCGAAAGAGUCGCGAGAUUAGAAAUUUUGCGGCGUGCGUGUGCGUGCGCUUGAGUGUCUGCGUGUGUGGUGUUGUGUGUGUGUGGACCGUGGGACGUGGACGUGGACGUGAACGUGGAGAAAGGACAUCGCGUCGCCAUGCUAGACGCACGCAUGUUCCCUGUGUUUGUUGUUGGUGUCCUGGUGUCGUCGCCACGUUGCGCGUGGAACUGUCUCUCGUGGUCUUCGCAUCCCGGCCGCUGCUCCUCCUAGAGCCCGCACCGAAUCCCAGCCAGCCAGUGCCCACGCCGUGACCGGGACAUGGAAGCAGCGAAAAGUGUUCCCACAAAGUGUGAAAGGAAGCGCGCCACCGGAGCAGGAGUCGUGCCCAGAGGAAAGAAGGACUCCCGUUAGACGUAGACGUUACCCGUUAGCCCCGUAACCCUCUCCCCACGCCCCAAGCUCCGCGGCCCCCUCUCCCAAAAGUUCCGUAGUGUUUUAGUUGCACGCUCUCGCUCUCGCUCGCUCGCUCGCUUGCUCUCCCGCGUGCGUGUCUCUCCCGGUUUGUCCCGUCGUUGUCGCUCUCUCUCCCUCUCAGUGCCAUCCUUCCGCUCUCGCGCUGCCACUGUGACAGUGCUCUCUCUCUCUCGCGAAUUUGACAUGUUUAUGUUUUGGGCGCUCUCCGAGGCAAAUUUUGACAGCUCGAACUGUCGGUGCACAGUGGAAGGAAACGCAAAGAUCCCGCGAAAAAACAUCAUGCACAAACAACAUGUCAGCGAAGCAUGAUAAAAGAUAACGAACGUCAAGACUCACUUAAUGGUUCCUAGUUGAUACUAAACUGAUACAAAGAGGAGGACAAGACACUGGACUCUGGGACUGAUGAGGCGGAUUUCAAAUUGAUUGGUAAGUUUCAAUACUAACCAACUAAAAACUCCACACUCAACUUCAGCCAUCUUUAUGAACACAUAUGUACAUGGGAUAGAUAUAUGUAAUAUGUACAAUUAUCCCCCACCAAAGUUGCAGUUGAUGCCUGACAUUAUCCAAUAUUUAUCAAGCACCAGGGCAGCCGCAGUACACAAUCUAAUUUAGGAGGAGCACGGCCAGGGCUUGGUGACAAUUUUAAAUCAAUUUGCUUAUUACAAAAUGCCAUCGGUCGUGUCUGGGCCAGAUCCCAAAGCCCUGGAGGCCAACACAACACGCAAAUAUGCAAAUGCUGGCUGCAGAAAGCCAAAAUGCAGAAUGUCGGAUGGCAAAUGUCGAUUUGGCCAAUAGAAAUGCCCACACACAUUUCGUACUCGUAUGUACAUAAAUAU